UGAGGAAUAUUGGUCAAUGGAGGAAACUCUGAACCAGCCAAGUCGCGUGAAGGAAGAAUGUCCUAAGGAUUGUAAACUUCUUUAGCGAGCGAGUAAGGACUUCCACGUGAUGGGAGUUUGAAAGUAGCUCGAGAAUAAGUAUCGGCUAACUCCGUGCCAGCAGCCGCGGUAAUACGGAGGAUACGAGCGUUAUCCGGAUUUAUUGGGUUUAAAGGGAGCGUAGGCUGUCUAUUAAGCGUGUUGUGAAAUUUACCGGCUCAACCGGUGGCUUGCAGCGCGAACUGGUCGACUUGAGUAUGCAGGAAGUAGGCGGAAUUCAUGGUGUAGCGGUGAAAUGCUUAGAUAUCAUGACGAACUCCGAUUGCGCAGGCAGCUUACUGUAGCAUAACUGACGCUGAUGCUCGAAAGUGCGGGUAUCAAACAGG
RNAcentral lists this ribosomal RNA (425 nucleotides) under Fusobacteriota bacterium. RNAcentral's name for it is "Fusobacteria bacterium partial 16S ribosomal RNA". It matches the Rfam family "Bacterial small subunit ribosomal RNA", at positions 355 to 776 of the family's 1533-position model. The record is from RNAcentral. Lineage: Bacteria; Fusobacteriati; Fusobacteriota.